GAAAGAAACUGGGUCAGUUUUUUGUUUUGCUUUGUUUUUAAGUUACCUAGCUAAAUUAUAGAAAGGAUUAUCGUUUAUUUAGUUGUAGCUUCAAAAAGACAAUUCAUUCUGGCCUAGUAUUUUAAAAUAUGGAGAAGGGAUGAAUGGAUGAAAAGUUUAUAAAGGAGUUAGUUUGAGAAUGUACAAGAAAGUGGAUCAGAAGAAAGAUGCUCCAGUCCCCUCUUCAGGACGGAGAACUGUUCUGCGCAGAGCUUUCCCAAUUGCAAUGGAUUUAUCCUCAUCUCUUAAGGAGAAAAUGAAUUAACAAAGAAAAGAAUACUACAGAGAAUCCCAGAGACUUCAAGAACACUCUCUACACUUUCAGCA
Molecule: long non-coding RNA, 366 nt
Filed under: Mustela putorius furo (domestic ferret)
Lineage: Eukaryota; Metazoa; Chordata; Mammalia; Carnivora; Mustelidae
Description: lncRNA (ENSMPUG00000025147.1)
Source: RNAcentral